This 378-nucleotide ribosomal RNA is filed under the name Clostridioides difficile. Its description in RNAcentral is "partial 23S ribosomal RNA". It matches the Rfam family "Bacterial large subunit ribosomal RNA", at positions 2545 to 2925 of the family's 2925-position model. The record is from RNAcentral. Lineage: Bacteria; Bacillati; Bacillota; Clostridia; Peptostreptococcales; Peptostreptococcaceae.
UCCUGGGGCUGUAGUAGGUCCCAAGGGUUGGGCUGUUCGCCCAUUAAAGUGGUACGCGAGCUGGGUUCAGAACGUCGUGAGACAGUUCGGUCCCUAUCCGUCGCAGGCGUAGGAAAUUUGAGAAGACCUGUCCUUAGUACGAGAGGACCGGGAUGGACGUACCUCUGGUGUACCAGUUGUCCUGCCAAGGGCAUGGCUGGGUAGCUAUGUACGGAAUGGAUAAGCGCUGAAAGCAUCUAAGCGCGAAGCCAACUUCAAGAUAAGAUUUCCCACCGCAAGGGUAAGACCCCAGAAAGACUAUCUGGUUGAUAGGUCGAAGGUGUAAGUGCAGCAAUGUAUUUAGCUUAUCGAUACUAAUAGGUCGAGGACUUGACCAAU